Molecule: transfer RNA, 76 nt
Filed under: Candidatus Saccharibacteria bacterium RIFCSPHIGHO2_12_FULL_47_16b
Lineage: Bacteria; Candidatus Saccharimonadota
Also listed under: 4 other names
Description: tRNA-Lys
Rfam family: tRNA
About the family: Transfer RNA (tRNA) molecules are approximately 80 nucleotides in length. Their secondary structure includes four short double-helical elements and three loops (D, anti-codon, and T loops). Further hydrogen bonds mediate the characteristic L-shaped molecular structure. tRNAs have two regions of fundamental functional importance: the anti-codon, which is responsible for specific mRNA codon recognition, and the 3' end, to which the tRNAs corresponding amino acid is attached (by aminoacyl-tRNA synthetases). tRNAs cope with the degeneracy of the genetic code in two manners: having more than one tRNA (with a specific anti-codon) for a particular amino acid; and 'wobble' base-pairing, i.e. permitting non-standard base-pairing at the 3rd anti-codon position.
Source: RNAcentral
GGGCCCGUAGCUCAGUUGGUAGAGCAGCGGCCUUUUAAGCCGCGUGUCGCGGGUUCGAGACCCGCCGGGCCCUCCA